AGUGAACGCUGGCGGUAGGCCUAACACAUGCAAGUCGAACGGCAGCACAGUAAGAGCUUGCUCUUACGGGUGGCGAGUGGCGGACGGGUGAGAAUACAUCGGAAUCUACUUUUUCGUGGGGGAUAACGUAGGGAAACUUACGCUAAUACCGCAUACGACCUACGGGUGAAAGCAGGGGAUCUUCGGACCUUGCGCGAUUGAAUGAGCCGAUGUCGGAUUAGCUAGUUGGCGGGGUAAAGGCCCACCAAGGCGACGAUCCGUAGCUGGUCUGAGAGGAUGAUCAGCCACACUGGAACUGAGACACGGUCCAGACUCCUACGGGAGGCAGCAGUGGGGAAUAUUGGACAAUGGGCGCAAGCCUGAUCCAGCCAUACCGCGUGGGUGAAGAAGGCCUUCGGGUUGUAAAGCCCUUUUGUUGGGAAAGAAAAGCAGCAGGUUAAUACCCCGCUGUUCUGACGGUACCCAAAGAAUAAGCACCGGCUAACUUCGUG
RNAcentral lists this ribosomal RNA (491 nucleotides) under uncultured bacterium. Its description in RNAcentral is "partial 16S ribosomal RNA". It matches the Rfam family "Bacterial small subunit ribosomal RNA", at positions 29 to 507 of the family's 1533-position model. The record is from RNAcentral.